This 527-nucleotide ribosomal RNA is filed under the name uncultured bacterium. RNAcentral describes it as "bacterial SSU rRNA". It matches the Rfam family "Bacterial small subunit ribosomal RNA", at positions 8 to 526 of the family's 1533-position model. The record is from RNAcentral.
AGAGUUUGAUCAUGGCUCAGAUUGAACGCUGGCGGCAGGCCUAACACAUGCAAGUCGAACGGUAGCACAGAGAGCUUGCUCUCGGGUGACGAGUGGCGGACGGGUGAGUAAUGUCUGGGAAACUGCCCGAUGGAGGGGGAUAACUACUGGAAACGGUAGCUAAUACCGCAUAACGUCGCAAGACCAAAGAGGGGGACCUUAGGGCCUCUUGCCAUCGGAUGUGCCCAGAUGGGAUUAGCUUGUAGGUGAGGUAACGGCUCACCUAGGCGACGAUCCCUAGCUGGUCUGAGAGGAUGACCAGCCACACUGGAACUGAGACACGGUCCAGACUCCUACGGGAGGCAGCAGUAGGGAAUCUUCGGCAAUGGACGAAAGUCUGACCGAGCAACGCCGCGUGAGUGAAGAAGGCCUUCGGGUUGUAAAGUACUUUCAGCGGGGAGGAAGGGAGUGAGGUUAAUAACCUUAUUCAUUGACGUUACCCGCAGAAGAAGCACCGGCUAACUCCGUGCCAGCCGCCGCGGUAAUAC